RNAcentral lists this non-coding RNA (32 nucleotides) under Rattus norvegicus (Norway rat). The record is from RNAcentral. Lineage: Eukaryota; Metazoa; Chordata; Mammalia; Rodentia; Muridae.
UUCUAGUAGUAACCAUACCACAGCUUGAGUGC